Molecule: long non-coding RNA, 1062 nt
Organism: Parus major (Great Tit)
Lineage: Eukaryota; Metazoa; Chordata; Aves; Passeriformes; Paridae
Exons: 2
Source: RefSeq, a predicted model, not a curated record
AAAUAACUAGAAAAGAUUUUGGAAAUUAAGACAAUUCCAGUUAUGGAAAAGCAACUGUCUUGAGAAUUUUUUUUUUUCCAGUGGCUGCUUUUGAAGUGCUUUCUAGCAGUUUACAUAAGCAAAUAAAGCACUAUCCUGCUGGAACCCAGAAGAAAUACUGGUAGAAUAGAUUGAGCUAAAGGAAAAUGAGUGAUCACACUACCUGUUGCCACGUACUGAGGCGCACACGAGGUGUUGGUGCCGCGGGCCUCGCUGAAGGAGAACACGGUGAUGUUGUAGGGGGUGCUGCACUGCAGAGCCGACAGGGUGCAGGCCGUGGCCGUGUCCCUGCAGAGCAGCACACCGCUGCGGCUGGCUGCUCGGGUCUCGUACAGGUCAGCGCCUCGCACAGGAGCCCAGGUGACCCGCACCGUGUCGCUUGACAUGAACACGGCCCUGAAGUCACUGGGGCAACAAGGAGCUGCGAACGGAAAAGGCAGACAGGGAAGCCCGAAUGCGAGUGGAAAAGUGGUGCAAAUAAGAGCCUUGUUUCAUUUCUUUAUGUCUUCUCCAAAGGUGACGAAUACUGUGCAAACAGUCUAAUAAACCCCAGAUUUACUUCUUAAAUUGAUUUGGUACCACUCCUUCCAAAUCAGUAGAGGACAUACUAGUGUUUAGGUCAGAUACAGGAAUUACGUAUAUCCUUGGUUUAAAAUUUAAAAGUCUAGAGGUUAAAUAAGUGUUCUCAAAUUCCCAUUGAACUUAAUAUUUUUUUUAAUUUUCAAAGUAUGAAAACUCCCUAUGAGGAAGUUGAAGACUUUGGUACACUCUUCCUGAGGUAAAACUAAAAAAAAACAAAACCCACCCAGACAGAACUAGAGUUCAAAUGUUAUGCCAGGUCUGUGUGUUAUUCAUAUGUCCCUUGCCUGAUGAUUGUGAAUUGUUACUGUUUUCACGUUUGUAUGCAUGUCAUUGCACUUGACUAUGCAAGUUAAGUUUAAUUGUAAUGUGAACUGUUUCUUUUUCUCUGCUGACCUUUGUGUGUUAUACCCAAAACCUGAAUAAAAAAAGUUUAAGUUGUUA